Molecule: transfer RNA, 62 nt
Filed under: Thyestilla gebleri
Lineage: Eukaryota; Metazoa; Arthropoda; Insecta; Coleoptera; Cerambycidae
Description: tRNA-Arg
Source: RNAcentral
AAUAAGAAGCAAAUACUUGCAUUUAGUUUCGACCUAAAAAUUUGACGACUCCGUCCUUAUUU